Molecule: ribosomal RNA, 424 nt
Filed under: uncultured bacterium
Lineage: Bacteria
Description: partial 16S ribosomal RNA
Rfam family: Bacterial small subunit ribosomal RNA
Source: RNAcentral
AAUUUUGGACAAUGGGGGAAACCCUGACCAACCAUCCCCGCUUGUAUGAUGAAUGCCUACGGUUAAAAAGGUACUUUUGCCAGAAAAGAAAAGGCAUCACCAAAUACGAGAUCCUGCUGCCGGUUCCUGCAGAAUAACAACGGGAUAAUUACUGCCCAGACGCCGCGGUAAUACGUAGGGUGCAAGCGUUAAUCGGAAUUACUGGGCGUAAAGCGUGUGUAGGCGGUUCGGAAAGAAAGAUGUGAAAUCCCAGGGCUCAACCUUGGAACUGCAUUUUUAACUGCCGAGCUAGAGUAUGUCAGAGGGGGGUAGAAUUCCACGUGUAGCAGUGAAAUGCGUAGAUAUGUGGAGGAAUACCGAUGGCGAAGGCAGCCCCCUGGGAUAAUACUGACGCUCAGACACGAAAGCGUGGGGAGCAAACAGG